RNAcentral lists this ribosomal RNA (1211 nucleotides) under Silurus asotus (Amur catfish). RNAcentral describes it as "partial 16S ribosomal RNA". It matches the Rfam family "Bacterial large subunit ribosomal RNA", at positions 701 to 2563 of the family's 2925-position model. Lineage: Eukaryota; Metazoa; Chordata; Actinopteri; Siluriformes; Siluridae. The record is from RNAcentral.
UUUAGUUCAAAACCCCGAAACUAAGUGAGCUACCCCGAGACAGCCUAUCAAUUAGGGCCAACCCAUCUCUGUGGCAAAAGAGUGGGAAGAGCUCCGGGUAGAGGUGACAAACCUACCGAACUUAGUUAUAGCUGGUUACCUAAGAAAUGAAUAAAAGUUCAGCCUCGCACUCCUUGCCUCACAAACAUCUAAAACCACACGAGCCAAAGAAAUAUGCGAGAGUUAGUCAAAGGGGGUACAGCCCCUUUGAAACAGGACACAACCUCAUGCAGGAGGUUAAAGAUUACACUAAACAAGAUACACCGCUUUAGUGGGCCUAAAAGCAGCCACCUAGACAGAUAGCGUUAAAGCUCCAGCGGACUAAAAAUCUAUUAUCCAAAUAAUUUAUCUAAAACCCCUAAUAAUAUUAGGUCGCCCCAUGCCUACAUGGAAGAGAUACUGCUAAAAUGAGUAAUAAGAAGGAACCCCCUUCUCCUAGCCUACGUGUAUAUUAGAUCGGACCCCCCACUAAUAAUUAUCGAGCCCAACCAAAGAGGGUAAUGUGAUCGCACUAAAAAACAAGAAAACAUCACACCACCAAAUCGUUACUCCCACACCGGAAGGCCCACAAGGAAAGACUAAAAGAAAAGGAAGGAACUCGGCAAACCCAAGCCUCGCCUGUUUACCAAAAACAUCGCCUCCUGCAAAAAUCAAUGUAUAGGAGGUCCUACCUGCCCAGUGACAAGUUAAACGGCCGCGGUAUUUUGACCGUGCGAAGGUAGCGCAAUCACUUGUCUUUUAAAUGAAGACCUGUAUGAAUGGUGGAACGAGGGCUUAACUGUCUCCCCUUUCCAGUCAAUGAAAUUGAUCUGCCCGUGCAGAAGCGGACAUAUUAGUACAAGACGAGAAGACCCUUUGGAGCUUAAGAUAAAAGAUCAACUAUGUCAAGAAACUAAAAACAUAGCUUAAACUAAAUAGCAACUGAUCCUUAUCUUCAGUUGGGGCGACUGCGGAAGAAAACAAAGCUUCCACGAGGAUUGGGAUAAAUAACCUAAAGCCGAGAAAGACACUUCUAAGCCACAGAACAUCUGACCAUAUAAGAUCCGGCCACCCGCCGAUCAACGGACCAAGUUACCCUAGGGAUAACAGCGCAAUCCCCUUUCAGAGUUCAUAUCGACAAGGGGGUUUACGACCUCGAUGUUGGAUCAGGACAUCCUAAUGGUGCAGCCGCU